GAUGAUUUUAAAGCCAGGAGUCAUUCCAUCAGUAUUUAACUGGAAUGAUAAACCAAAGACCAAGUGAAUUUUUAAAAGGAAGUUUCCAUCUUCACUAAGUCAACCAAUGCAAAGUGAUGAGACAAUGUGUAUUGAGACACAUGUGGAAGAAGAGUAUCGUACAUAUAACACAGAAUCAGAGGAAAGCAGGACAAAAAGGAGAAAAACAGAGACAGAGUUAGAAACAGCCAAAAACAACAAUCUUGAAGAACAACUGUCUGAAAAGGAGAAAAAGUUGGCAUGCUUACGUCAGCAAAUUAGUAUUGAACAAUUUUGUGUAAAAAGAAUUUUCAACGGAUGAUUCUCUAAUUUUAUUCUACACUGGGUUUCAAACAUAUUUACUUUUUCUUACCUUUUUUGAAUGUAUACAGCCAACCGCUAAAAACAUGCAGAGUGCAUAUCAUAAAAGUAGUGAAACUAUUAGUCUUAGUGGAUGAAAGCGUUCUAUCGUGCUCAUUAACGAGCUUUUUUUUAAAUUUUUACAAGAUCUGAGUGUUCGAUUUUCAUGUUCUCUCCCAACCAUCAGCAGGAAAAUAAUAACUUGGGCAAUGUUUUUGUACUUUGUUUUAGGCCAAAUUCCUAUAUGGUUAUCUAAAGACCUCAUCCAAACUCUUAUUCCCGACUCUUUCAAAACUUUAUAUCAAGAACAAGAUUGGUAAUAGACUGUACAGAACUAAAAACUCAACAACCUUCUUCUUUGAUUCUCAAAUCUCAAUCAUAUUCGAGUUAUAAGAGUAUUAAUACUUUUAAAUGUCUAUUAGGGGUAGCUCCUCACGGGGCAGUUAUGGCUAAUAAAGUAUUUACAAUUCGGAAACUUUUGCAAGAAAAAGGCGUUACCCUUAACAUUCCGACAUUCUUGAGUAAUAAGAGACAAUUUGAUACAAGUGAAAUUCAAAAAACUUGCAAAACUACGCAUCCAUUUUGAGAGAAUGAACAGACGUAUUAAAGAAAAUCACUUAUUUUACUGCCCAAUUCCUAUUUCCCUUUCUGGGAAGUUAAUCAAUUAUGGACUGUUGCUUGCUUACUCGCUAAUAAAAUCCUUGGUUGUUUAGUUAGAACUUCAUCAGAAAUGCAUCCUGAUUAUAUCAACCAUACGUUGUCGUAAUAAUAGCACUACAAUGCCAAAAUUCUUUGUUUAUUAAAUGCAAUGUUAAAUAAAUAUUCUUGUAUCUUUUAU
Pecten maximus is the source of this 1216-nucleotide long non-coding RNA. RefSeq lists it as uncharacterized. Lineage: Eukaryota; Metazoa; Mollusca; Bivalvia; Pectinida; Pectinidae. The transcript has 2 exons. The record is from RefSeq and is a predicted model, not a curated record.